CCGUUGGGGAUGCGGUGGGACAUU
RNAcentral lists this ribosomal RNA (24 nucleotides) under Trichoderma aureoviride. RNAcentral's name for it is "partial 18S ribosomal RNA". The record is from RNAcentral. Lineage: Eukaryota; Fungi; Ascomycota; Sordariomycetes; Hypocreales; Hypocreaceae.